CCUCCUCCCUCUGUCAGGCGGGGAAGAAUUGAAGAGGGAACCUUUGACCUUAUCUUUAGUUCUGAUGAGCACUGAACAGUCCAGCCCGGAGGAAGAGUAUCGGAAAGCUGAUGACUACAGCAAUGCUCCCUCCUCCGUCACUUUGUCUGGGGGAGGGAUCACAUAGCGUAUAUCAGGCAAUGUGUGAGAACAUAUUACACGGUGAAAAGAAUUAUUCCUAACUUUCUAAGUAAGUAAAUAUUAUUAAACUGUUAUGUUUAUGCUGGAAGCCUGGGGGGUCCAACUGUUUUCACACUUGAACUAAUCCCUGCUUUCUGCAACGGCUCCUUUGGUUGGCUAUCAAAUCUGAUCUUCCAGCAGCCGCCUUUCAUGAUUCCUUCUUGAACUCACACGUAGUGCAUGACAAACCCACAUGUUUCUGGUUUAUUUUGUUGUUGGUUUGCUUUGAGAUGGGGC
This 456-nucleotide long non-coding RNA is filed under the name Mus musculus (house mouse). RNAcentral describes it as "lincRNA-EC70". Lineage: Eukaryota; Metazoa; Chordata; Mammalia; Rodentia; Muridae. The record is from RNAcentral.